RNAcentral lists this ribosomal RNA (550 nucleotides) under uncultured bacterium. Its description in RNAcentral is "bacterial SSU rRNA". It matches the Rfam family "Bacterial small subunit ribosomal RNA", at positions 355 to 896 of the family's 1533-position model. The record is from RNAcentral.
UAGGGAAUCUUCCGCAAUGGACGCAAGUCUGACGGAGCAACGCCGCGUGAGUGAAGAAGGUUUUCGGAUCGUAAAACUCUGUUGUUAGAGAAGAACAAGUGCUAGAGUAACUGUUAGCGCCUUGACGGUAUCUAACCAGAAAGCCACGGCUAACUACGUGCCAGCAGCCGCGGUAAUACGUAGGUGGCAAGCGCUGUCCGGAUUUAUUGGGCGUAAAGCGAGCGCAGGCGGCUCCUUAAGUCUGAUGUGAAAGCCCCCGGCUCAACCGGGGAGGGUCAUUGGAAACUGGGGAACUUGAGUGCAGAAGAGGAGAGUGGAAUUCCAUGUGUAGCGGUGAAAUGCGUAGAUAUAUGGAGGAACACCAGUGGCGAAGGCGACUCUCUGGUCUGUAACUGACGCUGAGGCUCGAAAGCGUGGGUAGCAAACAGGAUUAGAUACCCUGGUAGUCCACGCCGUAAACGAUGAGUGCUAAGUGUUGGAGGGUUUCCGCCCUUCAGUGCUGCAGUUAACGCAUUAAGCACUCCGCCUGGGGAGUACGACCGCAAGGUUG